This 414-nucleotide ribosomal RNA is filed under the name Bradyrhizobium sp. UFLA05-14. RNAcentral's name for it is "bacterial SSU rRNA". It matches the Rfam family "Bacterial small subunit ribosomal RNA", at positions 129 to 572 of the family's 1533-position model. The record is from RNAcentral. Lineage: Bacteria; Pseudomonadati; Pseudomonadota; Alphaproteobacteria; Hyphomicrobiales; Nitrobacteraceae.
CCUUUUGGUUCGGAACAACACAGGGAAACUUGUGCUAAUACCGGAUAAGCCCUUACGGGGAAAGAUUUAUCGCCGAAAGAUCGGCCCGCGUCUGAUUAGCUAGUUGGUGAGGUAAUGGCUCACCAAGGCGACGAUCAGUAGCUGGUCUGAGAGGAUGAUCAGCCACAUUGGGACUGAGACACGGCCCAAACUCCUACGGGAGGCAGCAGUGGGGAAUAUUGGACAAUGGGGGCAACCCUGAUCCAGCCAUGCCGCGUGAGUGAUGAAGGCCCUAGGGUUGUAAAGCUCUUUUGUGCGGGAAGAUAAUGACGGUACCGCAAGAAUAAGCCCCGGCUAACUUCGUGCCAGCAGCCGCGGGUAAUACGGAAGGGGGGGCUAGCGUUGCUCGGGAAUCACCUGGGCGUAAAGGGGUGC